AUGAUAGCAACAAGAAGGUACCAUCAGAUUAGGCAUAACAGAUCCACCAUGACAAGAACAACACAGGCACAUUCUGAAACACUACUAGCACACGCACUUCCUAACAAGGAUCUAACAGACGACGCAUGGAUUGCAGAUCGCGGCCUAGGCCCUCUCGCCACGGAUGCGGCGGGCGAGCUGGAUGUCCUUGGGCAUGAUGGUGACGCGCUUGGCGUGGAUGGCGCAGAGGUUGGUGUCCUCGAACAGCCCCACCAGGUAGGCCUCGGCGGCCUCCUGCAGGGCGGAGACGGCGGAGGACUGGAAGCGGAGGUCGGUCUUGAAGUCCUGGGCGAUCUCCCGGACGAGGCGCUGGAAGGGGAGCUUGCGGAUGAGCAGCUCGGUGCUCUUCUGGUACUUGCGGAUCUCGCGGAGCGCGACGGUGCCGGGGCGGAAGCGGUGGGGCUUCUUGACGCCGCCGGUGGCCGGGGCGGACUUGCGGGCGGCCUUGGUCGCCAGCUGCUUCCUCGGCGCCUUGCCGCCGGUGGACUUCCUCGCCGUCUGUUUGGUGCGGGCCAUGGCGCCGGUGUUGGGGAUGUUGCUGGGUGGGUUGGGGAAUUGGAGCGAGGAGGAAGAGUGGAAUGGGACGGCGUUAAAUAG
RNAcentral lists this ribosomal RNA (636 nucleotides) under Triticum aestivum (bread wheat). RNAcentral describes it as "partial small subunit ribosomal RNA". Lineage: Eukaryota; Viridiplantae; Streptophyta; Magnoliopsida; Poales; Poaceae. The record is from RNAcentral.